CGACCUCAGAUCAGGCGGGACUACCCGCCGGAUUUAAGCAUAUUAAUAAGCGGAGGAAAAGAAAACAACCGUGAUUCCCUUAGUAGCGGCGAGCGAACCGGGAAAAGCCCAUCGCCGAAUCUCGCCGCGCACUUUUGUGUCGCGGCACGUAUGAGAGUUGUGGCGUACGGGCCGGCCUCGUUGCCGGGGCGCACGUGACGGUCCAAGUCUCCCUUGAACGGGGCCAUGGCCCGCAGAUGGUGCCAGGCCAGUAGAGGCCGUCACAGCGUUCCGGGAUCGGACCGCGCCUUCGAGUCGGGUUGCUUGAGAGUGCAGCCCGAAGCGGGUGGUAAACUCCAUCUAAGGCUAAAUACGGCCACGAGACCGAUAGUUUACAAGUACCGUGAGGGAAAGUUGAAAAGAACUUUGAAGAGAGAGUUCAUAAGAACGUGAAACCGCUCGGUUGUAAACGGACAGAGCUCGCGAAUCCCCGCCGGGCGAAUUCACGGUCGGUCUAACCGCCGGCCGGAUCUUUCGCUCGGUUAGCGGACGUCGCGACCCGUUGGGCGCCGGCCGAAUGGCCCGGGUGACGUUCGUCGCGUCGGUCGCGUUUCGGCGUGACCGUUCGCGCCGAGCCCCGGUGCUCAUGGUCGGCUCGCCCGACGGCAAGAACCGUCGACGCGGCCCCGUCGCAGGCGGGGUCCCGUCGGUCGGCGACGUGUUUCGAGCUACUUUCCGACCCGUCUUGAAACACGGACCAAGGAGUCUAACGUGUGCGCGAGUCAACGGUGAUCUUACGAAAAACCACGUUUGGCGCAAUGAAAGUGAACCGUUUACGGUGCGGACGAUGGCCUAGCGACCGAACCCACCGGCGUUCAAAGUCGCGCUGGUCCGCAGUCCGGGGGCGUCUCCGCCAAGUCGGCUUCGGCCGGCUGGGGGCGCACCCUUAGCGCACACGUUGGUACCCGAAAGAUGGUGAACUAUGCCUGGCCAGGAUGAAGUCAGGGGAAACCCUGAUGGAGGUCCGCAGCGAUUCUGACGUGCAAAUCGAUCGUCUGAGCUGGGUAUAGGGGCGAAAGACUAAUCGAACCAUCUAGUAGCUGGUCC
This 1086-nucleotide non-coding RNA is filed under the name Acyrthosiphon pisum (pea aphid). RNAcentral's name for it is "Eukaryotic large subunit ribosomal RNA". It matches the Rfam family "Eukaryotic large subunit ribosomal RNA", at positions 1 to 957 of the family's 3401-position model. Lineage: Eukaryota; Metazoa; Arthropoda; Insecta; Hemiptera; Aphididae. The record is from Rfam by way of RNAcentral.